CCCUCUGACACAAUUUGCACACCCUGGGACAUACACCUUUCUCAUAUAAUAUUGGAUUCCCCAUGGUCACUGGGACCUGCCAAUCAUCCACAUCUAGUCCUUUGGGGUGUAUCAUAACAGGUAAAUGCAAUAUCCCAUGCUUUCUCUACUCCCUAUCAAUUAUAUUAGAAACCUUUCCUACCCAGAAUGCUGCAGGAUCCCAAAUCCCAGGUCAGCUCUUAAUGUGCAGGCUGCACCUUCCUCUGAACAAAGAAUUCAGAAACCAAGUCAGACAGUCACUGUACUCUAGAUCAGAGGCUUGACUUGGAGAGCAGAUUCCAAGGUUCGUGCAGAAGGAGGGCAUGUAUGCUUUGCCGUGAAGGAAGGGGAGUUGAACACUGAGUGGGCAGUCCAAUCUGACACUUGCUUUCCUUUUUUUCCCUUUGUCUCUGUCCCAGACAGGAGAAAUAAGCCUGUGAUUUGAAGAACAUGAUGGGCAUUAGGAUUAUGAGAAAAACUGUGAAAUCCUAAGCAUCAAAAAGUAAAAUUCUCAGCAGUGAAAUUUAAGCAACAUUUUACUUUUUACAUGUCAAGGACGGUUUUGAAAAUUGGUCCUACCAUGUGUCAAUGUUAGCAUUGCUCUUUUUGUGUGUCCCUCUCAUAGCACUGGUUGUAUGCUAUUUACUCUAUAAGCACUUUUCUUAGUAUGUCUAGGACCUCUCUUAACCUCUUUUUAUUUCAUUAAGCACUGCCACUAUUGUUAUUGUUUUCACCAGUUCAUUAGCAUUUUUCUUCAUAUGUUCCAAGAACUCUAUAUGCAUCACUCUUACCACAUUCCUUCUAUAAGUAUUUUCCUCACUAAAUUGUGAACUGUAAGCAUUGUUCUUAUUUCUGUGAACCACCCUCACAGCACUGCUGUUACAAAGAUACCAAUAACUCUGUGAUCAUUGUUUUUACUGUGAUAAGCACCCUGUAAGAUGUUAAUGUCCUGUUGAGAAAUAAAAAUUAACAAUCAGCAUUUCUGUGUGUCCCCACACUUAUGAAGCAACUAUUGGCUGUCCCUUGCACAAAGCAUCCCUCCUCUUGUCCAUCCUAUGAUGGAACUAUUAAAGGAAGUCAAACUUCUCUCUGAAGUUGCUCACAAAGGUUACCACUGUGAACAUCUGUCACUAGCUUUCCCUACUACAAGUGAGUCUGAGAUCUUCUCAAGUUUUCUGUCUGGUGCAAUUGACACAUUUCAAAGUCCUAUAUUCAUGUACCGCGUCACAGUCACUAACAGUAGACAUUUGCACUAUUGACUCUGCUUACUCUUGUAGGGACAGCCUUUAGAGACAUGGUUGCUGUACUAAAGUUGUUAUUCUUUAAACAAACACCCACUAUGUGGAGUCAUGUCCUCGGGCUGGAUGAGACAUGGAGGUAUGUUGGGCAGACAAAUAAUCCUGCCCAAGUGGAGGUGGUACCUAGCAUAACUUUCAUCCUACCCUAGAUGAGAGCUGGGGACCCAGACAGAUCUGAGACAUCUUGCCACAGCUCCCAGAGGUGCCAGAUGCAAAUUCUGUGAAGCAGGGGACUCUGGCUGCAUGUUUCCCAAUACCCAGCUCUCCUGCCAUGAAGGUGUGACCCAAUAUAGAACAGAUGUGAUGUCAUGAUAGGACACUGGCAUUUUCCAGGCUCAUCCUUCUUUGGUCUUUGUUCUAGUGCACCUUGCUGUCUGGGAAGUAUCACAGCAUGCUCCAUGCCCCUUUCUUUAUCUCAAGAAGCUGUCUUCAUGAACAAGCAUUCUGCUUCCUUCUAGAAGACAAGUUAAAUCUGCUUCCCUUCCCUGCCAAAAAGUAGUCAUGGAAUCCCCUAUUAAGGAAUCAGAUGGUCAAUGACAUGAGGGUGAAGAUGAACACUCUGAAGGGAAUUGUGUCAUGACAGACGGAAAAGGCCUGGGGGUCACAGAAGAAGCCAGCAGGAUAAGAUAAGCCCAAAAGUCUGCCAGGAACCUGUGGCUCAGGUCAAUCUCAGAAGAACCUGUUCCUCCAUGGCAUGCCACCUGUCUGUGAAAGGCACAGUAAGAAGGCAUCAGCCCACCAGACAACCUAGAAAUAUUUCUGACUCUACCCAGUACUUGACAUCACAUACCCACUGAACAAAGUAAGGCAGAUGGGGAAUUUCUCUUGUGAAGGAAGAUCAGAGGCCACAAGAUGAAACAAGAACUGGCUCUUAUUCAGAUCUGGACCCAAUAGGAGGCAUGAGGUUAUCAAGAUUCAUGGGGUGCCAGAAAGUAAGCAUUUCCCAACCUGUGAGGAGAUGGACGAACCUGAAGAGGAAAAUGAGUAAACAUAUUGGUGAAUGAACCCCACGAAGAUAAGGAGAUGGUGGACAUUGGGCACCAUGGGCAUAUCUUGGAACCCUGAACAACAACCACCACAGAAAUAAAGAUUCACAUCACACUCGGAACCAUCCUGCUGUUGGGGUCUCACUCAUAGGCAAGGUUUGAUCAAGGACCAAUCAAUCCAGACAAGUUGCUAGCAUCCCUGUAUGGACACCCAUAGGAAAGUACACUAACCCUACAUGCCCUGACUUCAAGUCACAUCUCUCUAAGGACUGUGGAAUGUGGAAAUAAGUCAGCCUAUCUGUGGGUUUAUAAUACUGGCACAGGCUUUAAUGAAAAUGUGAGUUGCAUUACCAAACCUAAAAUCGUCCCUAGGGUCAAUGGACAACCAGGGCCCUUCCCUUCGGAAUGCAAUUUUGUAAGCCUGAUGAAUGCCAUGUGAUACAGCACAUUCUAGGAAUGCACACAUAAUAGUCAUACUUACUUUACUGCCGUACCCGAAAUCACUUACAUUGACACCCUUGGAGAUGAUUGGUCUAUUACACCCCAGGUUUUUGGCAAUUACAAAUAUGCCACAACCUCCUGCCAUGCCACCCCAGGAAAACCGGCAUGUUGGAAUAAAAUAGCUCCCAUCCUUGUCUCUGAUUGUGAGCCCACAGACCAGGUUAGAGAAACCAUGAUCCAGGAGAAAAUCCAAUUUAUGACUGACCCCCUAAUUCCUCACAUAGCUUAUCAUCCCUUAUUUCUUCCCAAAUCUAGCGGAGUGGACUGAUCCCUAUACAUCAGAAAUAAUAGCUGCCACUCACUAUGCUUUAAACGUCACCAACCCCAGUUUGGCAGAAGAUUGCUGGCUGUGCUUAGCUUUAGGUAGUCAGUGGCCUUGAGCAGUCCCCAUGUUCAAUGACUCUUUGAUACCCAUCAAUGGUUCCCUGCUGACAAGUAAUGGUCAGCUCAGCAUUCCUUUUAGAAUUCAACCUACAGGAUUUAGUUAUUCUUUGUGCUUCUAUAAAUAUUUUAAGAACCAUUGUUUUGGUAUAGUUGUAGGCCAAGUUUCCUUUACCUCAUCUUUCUCAGUGAUUAAUGUGUCCACAGCUCUCUGUGCCAGACCAGGACAGAUUCUUUUUUUUCUGUUUCUUUUAUUUUUUAUAUAUUUGAAUUACAAACACGAUUGAAUUACAUGUCGAUCCCAGUUCCCUUCUCCCUCCCUUCCUCCUCUACCACCCCCCAACUAAAAUCCUAUCUGUCAUAUGUCUUUUCUUCUAAUCUACACCUGACUCAAAAUUUCUGCUUCCAGGACAGAUUAUUAUUUGUAGAAAUAAGUUAGCAUACUCCAUGCUGCCAGCCAAUUGGACAGGGCUAUGUGCCCUGGCCACCAUCCUCCCAGAUAUAGAGAUUUUACCUGGGGACAAGCCUGUCCCUAUAUCUAGCAUGGAGUGUCUCAUCCCCAGAUGUAAGAGGGCUGUUCCAUUCAUUCCCCUAUUGGUAGGUCUUGGUGUGGCAGGGAGCUCUAGCCACUGGCUCCACUAGCAUGGGAGUAGCCUUAAAGACCUAUUCUCAACUGUUACAGCAAAAUGCUGCUGAUGAAAAGACUAUUUAUAGAUCCAUCCAGUAUCUACAAGAUCAGUUUGACUCUAGCAGAGGUAGUCCUACAAAAUGGGAGAGAUCUAGGCUUAGUUACUUCAGUCAAGGGAGGCAUGUGCUUGACUUUACAGGAGAAAUACUGCUUUUAGGGUAACAAAUAAGGCAUUGUUCGAGAUCGAAUAAUAAAACAUUAAGAAGACCUUGAAAACCGCCAUAGAGAACUGUUGGACCAACCUAUUUGGAGUGCCUGGAGUGGAUUGCUGCCCUAUCUUCUUUCCCUGUUAGACCUCUUGGUUGGCCUAUUAAUUCUUCUAUUGCUCAGACCUUUUCUUUUUAAUAAAUUGAUGCCCUUCAUUGAGAA
Non-coding RNA from Cricetulus griseus (Chinese hamster), 4241 nucleotides. The record is from RefSeq and is a predicted model, not a curated record. NCBI's taxonomy places the organism in Eukaryota, Metazoa, Chordata, Mammalia, Rodentia, Cricetidae.